GCCUAACACAUGCAAGUCGAACGGGGAGCACUUUCGGGUGUUCCGAGUGGCGCACGGGUGAGUAACACGUAGCUGACCUGCCCCAGACACCGGGAUAACGUCGCGAAAGCGGUGCUAAUACCGGAUAAGCUCACGCGAGUUAGAGAGGCGUGAGAAAAGUGUUAGCGGUUUGGGAGGGAGCUGCGGCCCAUCAGCUAGUAGGUGCGGUAGUGGCGCACCUAGGCGACGACGGGUAGGGGACCUGAGAGGGUGACCCCCCACACUGGGACUGAGACACGGCCCAGACUCCUACGGGAGGCAGCAGUGAGGAAUAUUGCUCAAUGGGCGCAAGCCUGAAGCAGCGACGCCGCGUGGGCGAUGAAGGGUUUCGGAUCGUAAAGCCCUUUUCCAGGUGACGAGGAAGGACGGUAGCCUGGGAAUAAGUGUCGGCUAACUACGUGCCAGCAGCCGCGGUAAAACGUAGGACGCAAGCGUUAUCCGGAAUUACUGGGCGUAAAGCGCGUGUAGGCGGGUCGGUAAGUCACUGGUGAAAGCCCCUGGCUAAACUGGGGGAGGUUCGGUGAGACUGUCGGUCUGGAGGGUGUCAGAGGGAUGCAGAAUUCCGGGUGUAGUGGUGAAAUGCGUAGAGAUCCGGAGGAAUACCAGAGGCGAAGCGGCAUUCUGGGACACACCUGACGCUGAGACGCGAAAGCAUGGGGAGCGAACGGGAUUAGAGACCCCGGUAGUCCAUGCCGUAAACGAUGUAGACUAGAUGUGCGUUUUCCUACGGGGGAAUGCGUGUCGCAGCUAACGCGAUAAAGUCUACCGCCUGGGGAGUACGGUCGCAAGGCUAAAACUCAAAGGAAUUGACGGGGGCCCGCACAAGCAGCGGAGCGUGUGGUUUAAUUCGAGGCUACGCGAAGAACCUUACCUGGGUUUGACAUCCCCUGAGCGAAGGCGAAAGCCGGAGGUUCCCGCAAGGGACAGGGAGACAGGUGCUGCAUGGCUGUCGUCAGCUCGUGUCGUGAGAUGUUCGGUUAAGUCCGAAAACGAGCGCAACCCCUGGGACGUGUUACAGGUGUCACGUUCGACUGCCGGCAGCAAGCCGGAGGAAGGUGGGGAUGACGUCAAGUCAGCAUGGCCUUUAUGUCCAGGGCUACACACACGCUACAAUGGUCGGUACAAUGGGUCGCGAAGCCGCGAGGUGGAGCCAAUCCUGAAAAGCCGGUCGUAGUUCGGAUUGCAGGCUGCAACUCGCCUGCAUGAAGUUGGAGUUGCUAGUAACCGCGCAUCAGCACGGUGCGGUGAAUACGUUCCCGGGCCUUGUACACACCGCCCGUCACGUCAUGAGAGUUGGUCACGCCUGAAGUCGGGAAGGUAACCGCGAGGAGCCUACCGCCGAAGGCAGGGCUGAUGAUUGGGACGAAGUCGUAACAAGGUAGCUGUAGCGGAAGCUGCGGCUGGAUCACCUCCUU
Molecule: ribosomal RNA, 1454 nt
Filed under: uncultured bacterium
Lineage: Bacteria
Description: bacterial SSU rRNA
Rfam family: Bacterial small subunit ribosomal RNA
Source: RNAcentral